GACGAACCGUGCAAACGUUAUUCGGAAUCACUGGGCUUAAAGCGUGCGUAGGCGGCUAAGAAAGUUGGGUGUGAAAUCCCUCGGCUCAACCGAGGAAUUGCGCUCAAAACUACUUAGCUUGAGGGAGUUAGAGGUGAGCGGAACUAAUGGUGGAGCGGUGAAAUGCGUUGAUAUCAUUAGGAACACCGGUGGCGAAAGCGGCUCACUGGGACUCUUCUGACGCUGAGGCACGAAAGCUAGGGUAGCGAAC
RNAcentral lists this ribosomal RNA (250 nucleotides) under uncultured bacterium. Its description in RNAcentral is "partial 16S ribosomal RNA". It matches the Rfam family "Bacterial small subunit ribosomal RNA", at positions 524 to 773 of the family's 1533-position model. The record is from RNAcentral.